CAAAUCGUAUAGCGAUGAUGAUAUUCACAAAAGCAUCAAUAUAAUGUGUGGUCCAGUACCUCUAAUGGCAACAAGAAGCUUAACGCUGCGUAUAACGAAGCAGCUGGAGACAAGUCCUCCUGCCCUGUUUUUCUCAUCUUCUCUGUAAACACAAGUGGGCAGUUUGUUGGUUUAGCGGAGAUGGUAUGACCAGUUGAUUAGAACCAGAUGGCGGAGUGCUGGCAGCAGGACAAGUGGGUUGGUUGCUUCCCUGUUAAGUGUCACAUCGUUAAAGAUAUCCCGAAUUGUUCCUUGAGGCAUAUUACACUUGAGAAUGAUGAGAACAAGCCUGUUACUAAUAGCCGUGAUACACAGGAGGUCAGAGAGUCUUCUGGUUUCCUUUCUUAGUUUCUCCCUCUGUCAUGUGAAAAAAAAUUAAAUUUUAGUUUCUGUGGAUUUUGAAAUGGGCAGGUAAAGAUAGAGCAAGGAGUCAAAGUAAUCAAAUUUUUUAAGGAACAUGUGAGCAAGACAUGCAUACAAGACAUGCAUACUCAAUGAUUUUGUCUUCUAUGAGAAUUGUGAAAAUAUAAUCAAAGACUGGGAAAAAGAAACACCAGCUGUAUAAAAGACAGCAAUCUUUUAGUGCCAGUGACAAAAAGGCAACACCAAAAGACAAAUCUAAGGAAACCAGUGUGAUAGCAGAAGUGGCUGAAGAGAUAUAACAAAACGGUGUUGCAGAAGUUGCGAGCACAUGCUGAAUCGCAUGCUGAGUGCAGCAGCAAGCUGCUUACUUUACUUUGGAUGGUUUUUUUUGUCCGUUUUCUCUACCAAAUUUGCUCACUCUUUUCUUAGGAGUUUGGUUUUCUUUUGGUAGUUGGUUUUUGAAGUUGUAGAAGAUAUAUGAGUAAAAAUGAUUUCGAAGGCUAUAUAUAUAUUUCUUUUUCUUAAAAGUUCAAUGCAAAAAUAUAUUUUCUGUAUGUUUUUGUAACUUCAUUCACAAAAUUUCAAUCAGAAAAUAAAGGGCAUUGUAAUUGAGAAAAAAAAAGAAAACAAAUCAACCUUUGUGAGCUAUUUGAACAAAUAAAUGUUGGAAACCAACUCUUGGUCGUCUCUCCGCCACUGGUGUAUCCCAUGAGCUUCCUUAUAGUCUUCAGAAGCAGUCCGGUUUACAAUCAGCUUAGCAGAUGGGAUGAUGUGAACAGGCUCUUGCACAUCCACUGUAAAAUGCUUCAAAACAGUCAAAGAAAUAUGAUAUUAUACAUCAAUUCGCUGAAACAAAAUAAGUUAAAGGUUCACAUAUUACUUGACAGACAAGUUAUUUAUCAAACCACUAGAGCAUAAGAGACCAAAAAACUAACAACAUAGUUUUCCACUACAAAAAGGGUCACCCACAAUUGGCAAAGCCAAAUGAAUGACACUUUAAAAAACUUAAAACACAACACUGUUAACGGGACUAUGAAAUACAGCCGAUCAAUACCCGAACUUAACCCAAUACUUCUAACCGAAACAUUACCAAUCCCACACAUUUUAAAAACAGCAGCAGGUUCAUGGCUUUAGACUCCAGUAUUAACCUUACCAUAUCGUAAUUAACUUUUUUUUUGUUAUCCUAGAGAGACCAUCUAUUAAGUUAUAUUUGGCAGACUACGUACGAUCUUGGUGGAUCUAUCUUUUGUAUCAUUUACAAAUAAAUGAUAGAAGUUUGUAUCAUUUAAUUUUGUGAUACAAUUUACAUCUUUUCUUUUGUAAGAUCGAUUUGUUUUUUUCUCUUUUUUUUUUUGUUUUCAUUUGGUUGUUAAUGCGAGCUUUGUAGUUUUUUGGUGGGGGUAGUGUUCUCCAUCGAAAUCUUAUUUACAUGUUUGUGGAACUUUCCUGAAAGUUGACAUAUUUUGUUUACUAUUAAGAUUCUAAUUGUAAAUUUAUUUAAGAAAAAAAAAUAACCGAACCCGGCGCGUAGCGCCGGAAUACCACUAGUUACUCUAAUAGUAUUCUAUUUUAGAAUGAAAAAUAAAGUGAAAAUAGAAUGAUGAACAAAAAAUAAAAAAAUUACUCUAUAUAUAGAAUAAAAAAUAAAUUUAUGCUAUUAUAGAGUAUAAAAUAAAAUAUUAUUAAAUUAAUUUUACUCUAAACUCUAUUUUAAAAAGAAAAAUAGAAUAGAGUUAAAAAUGCCUUUGUGUCUUACACAAACUAACCUAUUGUGUGCAGAUGUGAAGACAGAUGCAUAUGAUAAAGUUUUCUUCUUUUUUCAGCCAGCAAUUAAGUUUUUCCUUUUGGUGAAAAUGUUUUUAAUUAAAAGGCCGAAUUUUUUGACUUUGAAUAUCUGCAAAAGAGAUAGGUCGCACAGCUGCUGACUCGAACUAUUCUUCAGGACCACUUGCAAUACCGACACGUGUCUUUUCAUUCGAGGCAAGACAAAAAAGUAUACCAGCUUUCUUUUAAGCCGAUAUAAGCCGCAUAAGCUGUCUCCUUCGGCGGGUAUUUGGGAUUGUAUUUACAUCUUUUACUACGUACAUGAUAUUUGUAAUUAAAUAAUUGAUCGUAACUUUCUUUUGUAAUUCGAAUUGAACUACAAAGUACAAACUAUUCAGAGAAAAUUUACAACAAUACCAAAUUUCCUAAAUUAGAAUAUGGAAAUUUUCAGAACUAAAGCCUUGAAACUCGAAAGGACCAUUGUGAACGAUCACAUCUUCUAUUUUCUAAUUGACAAACUAAUGUGACUUCAAGGCUUUAUAUGUUUAUCUUUAGAAAAAAUAUACAACCAUCUUUGAAUUUAGGCAGAUCCUUAUUAUAUGAUAUUUCUUACUGAACAUUUUAUUUUCUACAAGUGGGGCCGAAAGCACGGGUGUCUAAAAUGAUUUGGAAUACUGUUGAAUUUUGUAACUUUUUAUGAAACAGUUAAAUGUUUAUUUAUAAAAUAUCACUAAACUCUAAUAUACGUAUCUUUAUGUUAUUUUUUUGCUGUUUUGUAAGACUGUUAUUUAAUAUAUUUUGUUAUACAGAUUUUAUUUUAUUUUAUAUAGUUUCUACAAUUUUGAAUAACGAUACAUAUUUUAACUUAAUAUAAAAUAUUUUAAAUUUAGAACUACAUUUUAUCAUCACGGUAACAGUUGGCUAUACUAUAAACAAUCAAUAAAUAUAACUAUUAAAGAUAUAAAUGAAUUUUAACAUGUUUUUUUAGUUUGUGUGAAGAAUGUUAAAAUAAUAUUCUUUGUAUAACAAAUGAGUAUUUUUUUAAAAAUAACCACUUACCAUGUUGGACUCAUCCUUGCCUACUAUCCUGUUUUCUUUUCAUUCACAUAAUAUAAAGAAAAAAUACAAGAAAUCACAAGAACAAGGAACACCACAGGCAAUAAAGAAAUUUUAAAUUUAUCUUCAGUUUAAAAAGUUAAAUAUUUUUUUUAUUUUUUUUUUUGAAUGAAUAUUAAAUUUGAUUCAUAAAAAAAGCCUGUUUACAUCAUGGUGUAGUCCUUAGUUAAAUAUAACUCUAUCUUUUACUUCUUUACAUUUUAAACUCUAGUACUAAACCAAUAUUGAAGAGCAUUCUCCAUUCCCUUACCUCCCUUAUAUCUAAGAAUACUCAGCUUGACCUCGAUUGAUAUUGAUCAAGAUGAAUAACCUUACACUUCGUCUAUGAACUCCAGAUCUCGCGAGUUCUGUUCUAUCACUGAUUCCCAUCAAUAUUUUGAUCGUUUCCAGCAUGAACGCUCUAAUACCACUUUUAGCAUAUCCAACAAAUAAUACUCAACAAACCGUAUUGGAUUCAAGAACUCCCGUGCACAGGUUUGUACUAUCAUCUUGUAUUCCUAUUACUGUAGUGUUACCAAUCGGAACUGUAUUUGUAUUAUCAUCUUGUACCAUUUUUAUUUGUACAAUUACCUUUCCUAUUCUUUUUUCUUUUGACAAAAUUGUUCAAUCUUUAGUAUUAAUUUAAACCAUAGUUGUCACCAAGAGCCGAUAAAAGUAUAUAUUGAAAAUAUAAUAAAUAUAAAUCUAUUGUAAAUAUUUAUAUCUUAAAGAACUAAGCGUUGUAGCAAAGUCAAUACCCAAAAAUGUUAACUAUACUGGUAAGGUCUUCUGUUCUAAAAAUAGAAAUAUUAAAUUCUAGUCUCAACAAUUACGAAAAAAAACUAGCAACCGAUUCUUGUCUUUGAGUCGAGAAAUAUCUAAAAUAAGAAAAUUUUACAACUUUUGCAUUUAAAAUUUCUCAACGUGUGAGUCUCUCGCAAGUAAUAUCAAUAUUUAAUUAAUAGGUUUAUCGGAAACUCUUCCACCCGGAUGAUUUUAGGGACUCUCUUAAUUACUGUCAUUCUGAAAAUAUGAUAAAUAAGUCAUGUAUAUGCGGUAAGCACUGGAAAUAGAUUGCCAAACCAAAUUUUGAACAACGAUUUGCUAGUUACAAAAUGAUAAUUUAUUGCCAAACCAAAUUUUGAACAACGAUUUGCUAGUUACAAAAUGACAAUAAAUUAUCAAUUCCGCGGUCACCAUUCAGAUCCUUAGAUUGUUUUGAACUUAAUUGAUGACCAGGCUAGUUAAAAAGAAUCUCCUACGGUUGCAGCUUCACACUCGCUAGACUGAAGAUAGAAAAUAUUAAGUAAUAUAUCUAAUGCUCAUGAGCUCGUCCAUUUAUCCAUUUACAUAUGAUAUAAGUCAAAGGUCAUGUUUUGGUGUGACAGGGAGUAUACUUCUCAUGCAUGAUGAUGUCCCUAAUGUCUUCUAUUAGACAAAAAUGUCUAACAAAUAAAUAAUCUUAUACUUCCUUCGUAUAUUAUUUUUUAGUGUACAAAAAUAAAAAAAAAAUAUAUUUUUCUAAAAAAUAGUUUAAAAACCAUAAUUUAAAAAUCAUCCAACCAAUUAUAAAAAUAAUUACAACAUCUAAUUAAUUAUAUAAUUUUCAAUAAAACUAAAAUAACAUUAAAAUAUCAAAAUAUCAUCUAUAUUUUGAAACAACAAAAAUCUUUUUAAACAGCGGGAGUAUUAAAUUUGAGUUUGUAUUAUGAUUAGUUAUGUUUCAAAUAAGUAAUCCUAUAUUAAAUUUGAGUUUAUACUAUGAUUAGUUAUGUUUCGUCAAUUUGGUAUAAAUAUUAAUUGCUUUCUUUUUAUUUGAUACAAAUUAUUAGUUAUAUUUACCGGGUACAGAAUUAACUUAAUUCUAGACUUUUAGUAUACAUACAAAAGUGUCGAUAAUGUGUAUAUCUACGUCAACAGUAGUAAUCUGUUUCUUCCAUCUUUCCCUGUGUGCGACGUGUCGAGCGAUGACUGGAUAAAUAAAGUGGUGAAAUGGACGGCUGUGAACAGUUGGAUUGGUUGAGCUGUCGACGAUCGAAGCGGUAGCAAGAGGGGGACCGUACACGUGCCUAUCAUCCUCCUUUAGCCUUCCUGCGAGGUUUUUUUAUUUCUUUUAUUAAAUAAUUUAUUAUUAAAUCUACAAAGUGAUUGUGACAAUUGGCUACGAAGAAAACGACAUCUUCUUGAUGCGUUUAAGGUCCCACGUCACAUGGGUUGGUGGGACCCCUAGUUUUCCUCAUUAGUUUCGCAUAAGCUAUAGUGUGGGCCCGAUUUCACAAACUUGUCAGUAUACUGGAAAAAAGAGAGAAAAAUUAUAAUCCUUUCUUUCAAAAUACAUAAAGUUUUAAGAUUAUGCACAACUAUUAAGAAAUUUAUUUUUUAUUUUAAAAAUAUCAUUAAAAUAUAAAUUAAAAGGUAUUCAAACAAUCACAAAACAGACUACAAAAUAUCAUUUGCUACACAGUUUUUGAUAAAGUGAGAAAGUGCAUUGAUAUAUGAAAACAUCAUAUAUUUUGAAACGGAAUGAGUAUUUCAAAAAGAAUUUCACAAAAUUCGGCAUCGCAUCCCUCUCCUUUUUUUUACGUUUUUCUUUAAAAAAUGAAUAGUGGCAAAACCCAGUUUAAUUUGAAAAUAGUGUCAGGUAGGAAUCAUAAACAAAAAUCCAAAACGAGUGUUACUUGUGGACUCCAACAUAUCAUUUUUUAAUUUAUUUAUCAUCUAAUUUAAUAUAACUAGUAUAACUUAAUUAAAGAAUAUGUAGAUAUGAUUAAUUUAUGAUACUAAUGAUCAUGACAUGUGUGAUUUUAUAUAAUUCUGAUAAUAUCUAUAUAUGUAUGUAUAUAUAAUAUUACUUGUUCUUAACUUUGUACAUUAUCAGUAUAUAUCAUUUAUUCUAUUAAUCAAAUUUGAAAUGGUCUGAAAAUCUAAAUUGUAAUAGAACAACAUACAAAACUAAAUUAUUAUUAAAAAAUAAAGCAACAUGUGUCCAAUUAACUAAAAAGACAAAAAAAAUAUGAGCUGAUUAUAAACCAGUUCCAACUUUGAUCCUAAUGUUACUGCUGUCACGCGCCUUUGCCUAUUAGGUCAUCUCCAACCCAACUCCAAAACACUAUUUUAGUGUGAUUUUGACACUAAAAUCUUCUCCAACCAAACUGCAAAAAUCACACCAUUUUAGUGUCACACUAUAAUUUUACACCAAAUUUGGUGUGACACUAUUCACCACACUAUAACACUAUUCACUCCACUAAAAUACUAUUCACUUAUUUUAUUAAUAAAUUGUACAAUUAAAUAAAUAACAAAUAAAAAAUUAAAUACAUAUAAUAUUAUAAAAUAACUUUUAGUGUGAAGUUUAGUGUUGUGGUUGGAGAAGAACAUUUUUUUUGUGUUGAAACUACACCAAAAUAGUGUAGUUUUGACAUUAAAAUAGUGUUAUGGGUUGGAGAUGCUCUUACACCAUUGAGCAACUUGUCCUCUGUCAUAUUUAUUCCUCUUUUUCAUCUUUUAUCAGCCUGCGAGAAUAGUGUAUUAUUCGGGUGGUCGUUGGUCGAUAAACUAUUUUUGCCAUAUUAAGAAUCAGAGCCGUUUCUAUAAAUUUAAACUCUAGAAGCAAAAACAUCAACUCUUUUAAAAAAAAAAAUUAAAAUGACCACGGAGAGAUUCAAACCAUGGUGGCAGCCAACAAUCGUCUAUAAAACAAAAGGCUGAAAGCAUGUACUUCCCUUGUUUACUUUUCACCAAAAGCCGGCAUUGUUAAGAAUUGAUGAUAGAAAAAGACACAAUAUUAUCCUAAUCAAGCAAGAAUAAUCCAGUGAACCGAGGUAGAAAUAAAUAAUUAAAUAAUCUAAAAAAAAAUCAUGAAAUCCAACCUAAAAAAUCAGAAAAUUUAUUUAUAUUAAUCCCGAAAUAAAAAUAGAAAAGAUGCAUAUAGAUUAACUUUGUUUUGGAUUGAAACAAAACAAAAUCUUGUAGAACUGGAAAGCUUAUUUGGAUAUCAACAAACAAAAACAAAAUGAUCUUAAGAUUCUAAGAAGACAAAAACAAACUUCUACUCCAUUCCUUUAAAAGAUCUAGAAAUGGUAAGAAAAAAAAAGAGAGAGAGAAGUAAUUUCUAAAAAGAACAAAUAAAUAAGUAUUUAUCUAAUUUAGGAUACAAAGCAUAUGUACAACAUAUUUUUUUUUGUCAUCCAUAAAUUCAAAUUCUCCUGUUAAUUACAAAUAAUAUAAAAAUCCGAAAUCGAUAGCUAUAAGAUUACAAAAAUAACAACAAUAAAUGAGUGGGGUAUUUAUGUUUUUUUAACGCUGAUUUAUUAUGAUCUUACAAUUAUGAUAUGAAAAAGAUUACAUAGACGAUUCGACAAUCAAUAAUACUAUUUGCCUUAUGAAGACCUAUGCGUAACUGCAUCACCUGAACCGUCCUAUGAAGAUCUACGUUUGACCAGAUUUACUUGCACCAUGUUAAAGAUCUCUUGUAAGCCUUUCUUCUGUAAUAUGUAUAAUUAUGUAAUAAGUCGUCUUUCUAAAACUUGAAACAUGAAUUUCCUAUACUUUGUAAUAAACUGCAUAGUCUAUAGUCUGGGAUUUACUUUAAUAUAGAAAAAUAGUAAUACAGAUAAAAAAUAGCAAUCCAAGAUAAAAACGCUGAUCCUUGUAUUAAUCUAUAAAUAUAGAAUAUAAAUAAUUCAGAUAAUAAAAAUAUUGUUAAUAUUUAUAUAGUGGUGUUGUUAAGAUCUGAUUGCCUCAUUUUCAGAUGCUAUUCAUGACGGGAGUAAAGCUUCUGAACGUGUCAGACUAUUUGCAUCAUCUUUAUAAUUUUUAUAGUUCUUCGAUAGAUUCACUAACAGUGAUGCCUCAUGCUUCCACUUCACGUACGCGCACAAUCACGACUGACGACUUUUUCUUCUUCAAGCACGUUAAUGAUUUAUCCUCCACGUCGAGUUAUAUUUUAUUCCCUGAAUUUAUCCAUCUUUAAGUAAAUAUAUUAUAUCACCUUUUCCUUGUUCUUUUUUGGUUUUAUAUAUUUAUUAUCAGUGCACACA
This is a long non-coding RNA of Brassica rapa (field mustard), 8297 nucleotides long. RefSeq lists it as uncharacterized. Lineage: Eukaryota; Viridiplantae; Streptophyta; Magnoliopsida; Brassicales; Brassicaceae. The record is from RefSeq and is a predicted model, not a curated record.